This 492-nucleotide ribosomal RNA is filed under the name uncultured bacterium. RNAcentral's name for it is "partial 16S ribosomal RNA". It matches the Rfam family "Bacterial small subunit ribosomal RNA", at positions 29 to 507 of the family's 1533-position model. The record is from RNAcentral.
AGUGAACGCUGGCGGUAGGCCUAACACAUGCAAGUCGAACGGCAGCACAGUAAGAGCUUGCUCUUACGGGUGGCGAGUGGCGGACGGGUGAGGAAUACAUCGGAAUCUACUUUUUCGUGGGGGAUAACGUAGGGAAACUUACGCUAAUACCGCAUACGACCUACGGGUGAAAGCAGGGGAUCUUCGGACCUUGCGCGAUUGAAUGAGCCGAUGUCGGAUUAGCUAGUUGGCGGGGUAAAGGCCCACCAAGGCGACGAUCCGUAGCUGGUCUGAGAGGAUGAUCAGCCACACUGGAACUGAGACACGGUCCAGACUCCUACGGGAGGCAGCAGUGGGGAAUAUUGGACAAUGGGGGCAAGCCUGAUCCAGCCAUACCGCGUGGGUGAAGAAGGCCUUCGGGCUGUAAAGCCCUUUUGUUGGGAAAGAAAAGCAGCAGGUUAAUACCCCGCUGUUCUGACGGUACCCAAAGAAUAAGCACCGGCUAACUUCGUG